GGCGGACGGGUGAGUAACACGUGGGUAACCUGCCUGUAAGACUGGGAUAACUCCGGGAAACCGGGGCUAAUACCGGAUGGUUGUUUGAACCGCAUGGUUCAAACAUAAAAGGUGGCUUCGGCUACCACUUACAGAUGGACCCGCGGCGCAUUAGCUAGUUGGUGAGGUAACGGCUCACCAAGGCAACGAUGCGUAGCCGACCUGAGAGGGUGAUCGGCCACACUGGGACUGAGACACGGCCCAGACUCCUACGGGAGGCAGCAGUAGGGAAUCUUCCGCAAUGGACGAAAGUCUGACGGAGCAACGCCGCGUGAGUGAUGAAGGUUUUCGGAUCGUAAAGCUCUGUUGUUAGGGAAGAACAAGUACCGUUCGAAUAGGGCGGUACCUUGACGGUACCUAACCAGAAAGCCACGGCUAACUACGUGCCAGCAGCCGCGGUAAUACGUAGGUGGCAAGCGUUGUCCGGAAUUAUUGGGCGUAAAGGGCUCGCAGGCGGUUUCUUAAGUCUGAU
This 511-nucleotide ribosomal RNA is filed under the name Bacillus sp. (in: firmicutes). RNAcentral's name for it is "bacterial SSU rRNA". It matches the Rfam family "Bacterial small subunit ribosomal RNA", at positions 97 to 593 of the family's 1533-position model. The record is from RNAcentral. Lineage: Bacteria; Bacillati; Bacillota; Bacilli; Caryophanales; Bacillaceae.